RNAcentral lists this long non-coding RNA (6723 nucleotides) under Citrus maxima (pomelo). RNAcentral's name for it is "long non-coding RNA (CMAX_LNC001417)". The record is from RNAcentral. Lineage: Eukaryota; Viridiplantae; Streptophyta; Magnoliopsida; Sapindales; Rutaceae.
CAACAGACCAUUUUUAUGGGUUGUAAGGCCAGAUAUUACCACUGAUGCAAAUGAUAGAUACCCAGACGGAUUCCAAGAGAGAGUUUCUGCUCGAGGACGGAUGAUCGGCUGGGCACCUCAGCAGAAGGUUCUUAACCAUCCUUCUAUUGCCUGUUUCCUGAGCCAUUGUGGUUGGAAUUCCACCAUGGAAGGUGUUAGCAAUGGCAUUCCUUUCUUGUGCUGGCCAUAUUUUGCUGAACAAUUCCUGAACGAGAAAUACAUUUGUGAUAUUUGGAAGGUGGGAUUGAGGUUUGACAAAAACGAAAGUGGCAUCAUUACAAGAGAAGAAAUUAAGAACAAGGUGGAUCAAGUGCUUGGUCAUCAAGAUUUUAAAGCACGGGCUUUGGAACUCAAGGAAAAAGCCAUGAGCAGCAUCAGAGAAGGUGGUUCCUCUCGCAAGACAUUUCAGAAUUUCCUUGAAUGGGUAAAGACAAACGCCCUGGCACAUAAUUCCCCAGUAAUGGGCGGUUAAUUCAAAAAAUACUACCUUCGUAGACAAUUAUAGAAGGAUACCUUGGCCAUUGUAACAUGCAUUUUUUUCAGUUUUUUUAAUUAAGUCUAUAGGGUUUAGGAAUAUUUUAUUUAACUGAGUUUUAAUUUAAUUUGUUUUCCUAUGCAGUUAAUUUUUUUCAAUGCAGACAAUGAAUGUUAUCAGUUGUUACUAUAGUGUGAGGAGUCAGUCUCUUAAGAAACAAGCGAUUCAUUUGGCACCAAAUAUGCCUGCAAUGAACAGCGCAGAUCUUUUUUGGGCCUGCUUUAAUUUGGCGGCAUAACUACCCAUGCACUGCAGAUUUUGCAUAUUAUAUCCAGUUCAAAUAAACCAAUUCUGCCUAUUUCCCGCGGGGAGCCAAGCCAAACUGGAUUAGCGUCUCUUGCAUUUUAGAAGAGGAAACAGAAUUGAUGCCAUCCUUGUAUUGCCUAUUUUAUGGAUCACUCAGAAACAUUUGUUUAUUUAGUAUUAGCUUAUGAGAAGAUACUAGUGAGAUUUGUGGCUAAAAAAGCUGAGAUAGGAUGCUGGUGUGGGAGGAGACUAAGCCUAAAAGUAGCCGAUACAAUAUUUAGAUCAGGCUCGAAAUCAUGUUAUCGUUUCUUUUUAUUUUAAGAGGAUGACAUACCUCUUGUUCCCUCAUCUCGUGCAAUAUUUAUUGAGAUUUGAGCACAAGGUAAUCAACUUCUAACCUUCUAAUUCAAAGUAAAAAAAGCAAUGGCUGCCUCUUACCAUACUCGCUCAAACAGCUUUCCACAAGAUCGCACUCAAAGACUUCAGAAGUUGAAGAGCAUUUGUAAAGAUUAAGGACUUCUCAAGCUGUUUCUACUUCAUCAUUAGGCCAUGAAUUAAAUUGCCUUCAAGAUUCAUGCGAUUCUGUUGAAAAAAAAAAACACUUCAAUUGCCCCUCGUUCAACAAGCUUUAGCCAACGGCCACCAGAAGAAGAAAUGGGUUGAUGAGCUGUUAAAUGGAUCUUUUAUGAUCUUGGAUGUUUGCAGCACUGCUCAGAACGCCUUGCUCCAGAUGAAGGAAUCUACACUGGGAAUUCGAUCAUUGCUGUGCAAAAGAAGGGAUGAGGAAAAUUGAAAUCAUAUGAAACACUUUGAUCAGCAUGAGUUGUAGCAGAAUGCGAUGCUAAAAUUGGCAUUGCCGUUAAAGAGAGAAGACAAAUAAGUUAAAAAGAAUGAGACUUACACAUAUAUGUCUGGCCAAUUCAGCUCCUUUUUUUAACUUCACAAAGCAACCUCCAAAUUGGUACUAAUAUGUGAAUAUGGCAGCAGCGGUGGCAGCAGAAAGAAAACAUGAGGUUCUAAGUGAUGAUGAAGGAAUAUCGGUAUCAGUAGAGGAUCAGAAAGUGAAUGAAGACAUGCCUGAGGCACACGAUGCUGCAAUGAAAAUUGAGAGGUCCGAGGGAGCUUAUAUGGCCUACUCAGGGCUGCGAGAAAAGCCAUCGAAGCUUGAAAUUUGGACACUUCAUUGUUACAACGGUUGUGCCCGUUGUUUUUCCUCUCAUCAUCAGUGAAAUUGUCUCUAAAAAUGAUGAUGAUGAUGAUGAUGAUCAAGGUUGGCGACAAACCCCUAGGGGCAUUGCUUGUAUUCUCGGAGAGAUCAAACUGUAAGUUCUUUUUCUAGCUACAUCGAUUGUUACUUAGUAGAAUAUUCAAUCAAAAUUCUAUAUAUACAAAGCACAUGAGUGUAAUUUUCACAAAAAAUUGGAUUAAAGAUCGAAUUGAUUCCAAGACUGUUAAAGAGUAAAAAACGUAAAAGAUGCAAUUAUGCAUAUUAAUUUUAUUAUGGGAGAAUGAAUUUCUCACUCUUAAUUACCAUUUGGCUCAAAAUAUUGACAAGAAAAAAAUAUUGUUUAAGUGAAUGUGAAAUUUUCAUAUACAAAAUGAUUAUAUUGAGAGAUUUAUAGAUUAUGCUAUUAAAAAUUUAUCGGAACCCAAAGAACAAAAACAACUUCUUAGACCUUAGUGGGAAUAAAGUUUCAUUCAUUCUCCUUUAAUUAAUUCAUUAACUCUUACUCUUUAUUUAUUAUUACUUAAACUUGAGUGACCGCGGGUAUAAAGCGCAUUCAUGGCCAGUUAAACUAGACAGAGGGUCAGUUUUGAAUGUGUCCAUAUUUAGCAUGAUGAAAUAUUUUUCAUAUAUUGGAGGUAUGAUUGACUAACACACACAUCAAUAUCAACGAAUAAUCUGAAUCUAUCAGCAAUGGAAUGGACUUCAAUUUCUAGGGCUGCAACUGCCAUCGGUUCCCUCUUUUGUCUCCAUGUUGGCUUCAUUAAAACCCCAUGCAUCUUCCCAUUUUAUAUUGCAGCUAUUGUUGCAUUAUACAUUGUUGCUUCAGCCUCCCACACUCGCCAUCUUGGUCUUAUGGCUCGCGGCUACACUGGACCAACACUUAAACUUAGCCAAUCCCCAACUAGAAGAGGGGUCUCAGGCUGGUUCUCGGUAUACGCCACUGCUGGUGGUGGCUUAGGCUCUGCCAUUUUCUCAUCAUUCACUUACCAUAUGCUUAGGAACACAAAGGGCCCAUUUGUUAGCCUCUGGAUUGUGUCCAUUUUCAGGGUCCUCAAAUGGCUCGUUGGCAUGCUCCAUAUUGUCACACUGAGCCAGGGGCAAUCACCAACGCAACCUCCUCUAUGCCCGAAUCAUAUUGACUGUCCCUUUUUAAAAAUCCUCAUGCAAUUACAAGCCUGAUUGUAAUUUUCAUGUCAUGAUUUUCAUCAAUGUGCAUUUUCACUGGGGCUAUUUUUUUACUUUUCCUCUACUUAUGGAUAAUUUACUUCAUAUUACCAUCAUCUUCAACGACACUACUGCAUCCGUUACAACAUGUUAUCAAAGCAGAUGCUGUGAGAAUGCAAUUUCUGGGUUUCCUCUUAGCUCUGUUGACUUCAGGUACGGGAUUCUACUCCAAGGAAAGAACUGGCAGAGGCACCAUGUACUGCUUUUUGCUGCAAUUCAAAGCACUUCUGCAGGGCUUUUGCAUGCUUUUGGGAGAGUUUUGUUGCUAGAUUGUACAUCACAUGGCAAAGAAGGUGCUUUUUCUGUAUGGCACUCGUGGGUAAAAGCACUAGGAACUUGUACUGGCUUUGCUGUGGCAUCAGCGAUCAGUGGAAAUGUGAGCACUGCUUUUGGGGUUUCAUUUUUGGCUGCCACGAUCGGGGAUUCUUAUUGUGAUUUUUGGGGACAUCAGUGAUGUUGGUGGAGACAUGGUUGCUGGGCAUUUGCAUGAAGCGAGUGAGAAGGGAUCCCCAGUGCCUGGUUUAGAUACUAGCAUUAUUAUAAAGGAACAUGCUCAUGAAGAAAUUGCUUAAGUAAUGCAAGUGAACUUUCGCAAUUAGUCAAAUCCGUUAUCCUAUAUAAGUAAACUAGGAGUGGAGCUAGGGUCGGCUAAUGAGUAAUGAUGCCUUUGCUUUCAUUUUCUUUUUUGGCUUAUUAUCUUUUCAUAAUUACAAAACUAACUUAUUUACUUUGAAAAUGUAUUAACAAGAUUUUUGAAUUUUAAUGGAAAACAAGUAAUUAUGUUAAAAAUGUCAUUUAUUAUUCUAUUCAUUUAUGACCUGAUUAGUAAACAAAUUUUAAACGAAUAAUUGAAUUAGUGAACUCAAACCUGGGUUUGAUCGUUUAUUUAAUGAAUCAAAAUAAAUUUGCUUAUUUAUUAAAUAAAUUAAUAAUUUCAUUCCUUUACAUAUUUAAUUUGAUUCGAAUAGAAUUGAAAUAAAAAUCCUAAGCUAGAGUAUCACCCAUAAUUAGGGUCGGCAAAAAAGUAUGGGUUGGACCUAGCAUCAUAAAAUCAUGGAUAUGGCUAAAAAAUUUAAAGCUCACUCGGGGUUAAAGGCUUUUGGAAAAAGUUUGGGCUCUUUAAUUUAUAAAUUAAAAAAUCAUUUUUAAUUGAAAGAGUUAAAUUUCUCGUUCCAUUCUGGAUUAACAUCAUUUUUAAUAAACAUGAGUCUUAAGCUUCUGUGUAAAUUACAAUGCAUAAACAUAAUUAAUAUCUAAAAAAUAAAUAAUUUUAAUUUACAAUAAUAAUUAAUAAAAAGAGAGAAAAAGGAAUAAAGAAAAAAAAUACAAAUAUUUGCUUAGAGGUGACUGGUUCAGGCCCAUUCAAGGGAGCAAUUAAUAUUUAUUUUGUUUAAUAAUAAUAAUCAUCUUAAUUUAAAUUUUUUUAACAUACAACUUAAUUAAAAAUUUAUUUAACAAAAUUAUUGAAGUCCCAAGCCCAAGCCCGUUCAAGUUGGAUGAACAUUCACAGGACCUGAACCUCAUAUCGAUUAUAUGGAUCUGAUCUUGAGAAAACCCGGCCCAAACCUAUAAAUUGCCAACCCUCCCCGUAAUCAAAACCACUCGUGUGUUGCAAAUUAAAAUAUUAUAUAUUGAGCAGAUGCUAGUGGAAGGAUGUGAAAAAUUGUUUUAGUUACCUUAUUUAGUUAGGACUUGACUAGCUUACAGAAUCUGUAAGCUACAGACUGCAGCAUCAGCCGUUGGAUGUGGCUGGAUGUGGAGUGAGAAACUAAACAAUACAAAAUGGGAUGGUGGGAUGACGGGAGAUGUUCGUUACAGAAUCUGUACCAUAGAUAAGAAGAUAACCACUAACCAGAAAAGUUAUUGUAGACAGAGCAUUAAAAAUUGGGGUCCAGAAAAGUUGGAGCCGAGCAUCCUGCUUUAAACGUUGGAUCUAACGGCGCAGUUUGUUCAAAAGCAAACAUAUCACCCAAACCGCAGAAGGAAACAAAACAAAGGGGUGAACAAAAAGAACUUAAAAACGGGAGAUAAGAAGAUAACCACUAACCAGCUUGAGGUUCAAAAUUAAACACAUAUAACAUACUACUUGUACGAAAAGAAAGACAGAAAACCGAACAUGGGCUGCUGAGCUGCUCCUCACAAUCCCUAUAAAAGCACAAGGUUGAUAGAAACCAAACCAGUGAGGUAAAAAUAAAAAAGGAAAUGAGCAGCCCACACGUUUUGGUGAUGCCUGGUCCAGCACAAGGCCAUGUAAUUCCUUUACUGGAGUUUUCACAAUGUCUGGCAAAACAUGGCUUCCGAGUCACAUUCGUUAAUACGGAUUAUUAUCACAAGCGGGUAGUGGAAUCAUUGCAGGGAAAGAAUUAUCUAGAGGAGCAAAUCCGUUUGGUUUCGAUCCCAGAUGGGAUGGAACCCUGGGAAGAUAGAAACGAUUUCGGAAAGCUAAUUGAAAAUUUUUUACAGGUUAUGCCGGGGAAGCUGGAGAAGCUCAUAGAAGAGAUCAACAGUAGAGAAGAUGAAAAAAUUGAUUGUUUCAUUGCAGAUGGGAACAUGGGUUGGUCUUUGGAGGUAGCAAAAAAGAUGAACGUCAGGGGGGCUGUCUUUUGGUCUUCAUCAGCAGCAUUAGUGGCAUUGGUAUUUUGUAUCCCCAAACUUAUUGAUGAUGGAAUCAUUGACAGUCACGGUAUAAUUCCAUGUCAUUUAAUUCUUUACUUUCCUCCAUCAAACUUUAAUUUUGAUGCAUGUCAUAGUAGUAGUUUACUUUAUGCUACUGUUAUUUUCUUUGUUUUGUAUUCAACUUCAGGAACUCCUAUGAGCAUGCAGAUGUUUCGAAUUGCACCAAAGAUGCCUGAAAUGAACUCUAGAGACUGUUUUUGGGCACAUAUUGGUGACUUGACCACGCAAAAGAUUUUUUUUGAUUUACUGGAAAGAAACAGGAGAGCAAUGAUGGCGGUAAAUUUCCACUUUUGUAACUCAACAUAUGAGCUCGAGUCUGAAGCAUUCACCAUGUUUCCGGAACUUCUGCCAAUAGGACCACUUAUAGCAAGCAACCGCCAAGGGAAUUCAGCAGGAUACUUCUGGCGCGAAGAUUCAAACUGUUUGAAAUGGCUAGACCAACAGCAACCAAGCUCUGUCAUUUAUGCUGCUUUUGGCAGCCUUACAAUUCUUGACCAAGUUCAGUUUCAAGAAUUAGCAUUGGGACUAGAACUUUGCAACAGACCAUUUUUAUGGGUUGUGAGGCCAGAUAUUACUACUGAUGCAAAUGAUAGAUACCCAGAAGGAUUUCAAGAGAGAGUUGCUGCUCGAGGACAGAUGAUCAGCUGGGCACCUCAGCAGAAGGUUCUUAACCACCCUUCUAUUGCCUGUUUCCUGAGCCAUUGUGGUUGGAAUUCCACCAUGGAAGGUGUCAGCAAUGGCAUUCCUUUCUUGUGCUGGCCAUAUUCUGCUGAUC